UACAGGGGGCUCGAGCGUUAGUCGGAAUCACUGGGCUUAAAGGGUGCGUAGGUGGUCGGGUAAGUCUGAUGUGAAAUCUCCGAGCUUAACUCGGAAACGGCAUCGGAUACUAUCCGGCUUGAGGAAUGGAGGGGAGAUUGGAAUUCUCGGUGUAGCAGUGAAAUGCGUAGAUAUCGAGAGGAACACCAGUGGCGAAGGCGGAUCUCUGGACAUUUCCUGACACUGAGGCACGAAAGCCAGGGGAGCAAACGGG
This 253-nucleotide ribosomal RNA is filed under the name uncultured bacterium. RNAcentral describes it as "partial 16S ribosomal RNA". It matches the Rfam family "Bacterial small subunit ribosomal RNA", at positions 524 to 776 of the family's 1533-position model. The record is from RNAcentral.